AAUCAAAGCCUGGCUCAUAGCAGAUCAAGAGCCUACCCACUUGUCUCUUCUAACCUAGAGACAAAUCUUCAAAGCAUUUCACCGCCACUAGCAAGGGAAUGCAAUCCCCAAACGGUUAAGUUCGGAAAGAGAAUCCAGCUACACAGCACAAGGACCAGAAUCCCCUCCCAAAUCAGCAUCCCCGAGUGCAGCCCAAGAGUCUACAUCUGGAGAUCCGUACCCCCCUCUCAAUCCACGACGGGUUCUCGCAGCCUCCAGAGAACCGAAUCCAGCUACUAAUUCAAGACGGAGGUCUUCUGCAAAGAACUCAUUCCUAGGCCCGGGUCCCUCAGAGAUGAGGCCGGCGGCAGGACCCCCAAGAGGCCUCCAUCAGCCAGACCCCCGGUUCCAGGCGCCCCGCCCCCACCAGCUCAAACAGCCUCAGCCGCCUUUUCAGGUUCCCUUCGGCUGUGUGACCUGGGUUCAGGAGUUGAGACAACCACCUCCUCUGCCCAUCCAGACCUCCUCAAACCAACCCUUCGACUGCCACGGCAGCAGGGACCCCGGGACACAGACCUAAAAUCGUCAUCUCUCCGGCCAUCAGUCCCGCCGAACCAGCAGAGAGAUGACUGUACCGACGGGAGGCACCGCCCCCUACCCCCCGGCCGUCCCGCAGCCUCCUGGGAAGUGUAGUCCGGCCGGUCCGAGGCAGACGGAGGAACUACGUCUCCCAUCACAUCAGGGACUCCAUCUACCAUGAGGCCGCGGGGUGGAGUCUUCGCAGGCCCGUGAGGAAAUAGUCGGCCUCCCCACUCACGAAGGCCCAACAAACCAGGCUUCGUUGGGGAGCCGCCUCCAGGAAAGGUCAGAGUUUGUCAUUCAUUAAACCCCAAACGCCGCGAGCCUACUGGCCUUACCGCAGUUCCCGUAGCCCCUCCUCGCCGCGUUGUAUUGUGGGAGUUGUAGUUCUGGACUGCCCAGAGGUUGGAAGGAGAAAGAAGGAAGCUAAAACCUGUAAGAGUCUGAGGUAGCCUCCCUGGUGAUGUGAGUAGCAGUCCAGUCAUCCUUGUUCCACAUCUAGUAUCCUGCUAUGAAAUUCAUGUGGCAGGUUGGAGGUAUGGAACUCAGGUUUGUUAACAAGCACCCUUAACCUGAUGAACCCAGCUUGACAGGAUUUAGGAACUCCUAGAGACUAAGCUGUGGACAUGACUCACCAGUCAAUGGCCGUGUUCAAGACUAUAUGGAGUGAGUGUGAGCUACAAACCUGAAAAGGGAAGGAAUAAGGAGAGUGAAGAGAGGAAGCUGCACGAGCACGAUGUGAUGCAAAUGGCUGGGAGCACCAGAGAUGCCAUCAUCACAUGUUGCCACUGCUGUUUUAAUAACCAGUUCUGUGGAGGACAUUAGCGUUGCUCAAGUAGAAGAUAAAAGUAGGGCAUAC
Molecule: long non-coding RNA, 1417 nt
Organism: Peromyscus eremicus (cactus mouse)
Lineage: Eukaryota; Metazoa; Chordata; Mammalia; Rodentia; Cricetidae
Exons: 4
Source: RefSeq, a predicted model, not a curated record